This 596-nucleotide ribosomal RNA is filed under the name Clostridiales bacterium oral taxon 093. Its description in RNAcentral is "bacterial SSU rRNA". It matches the Rfam family "Bacterial small subunit ribosomal RNA", at positions 371 to 981 of the family's 1533-position model. The record is from RNAcentral. Lineage: Bacteria; Bacillati; Bacillota; Clostridia; Eubacteriales.
AUGGAGGAAACUCUGACCCAGCAAUGCCGCGUGAGCGAUGAAGGUCAUCAUUGUAAAGCUCUUUUCCUGGGAACGAAACAAAUGACGGUACCCAGGGAAUAAGCCCCGGCUAACUACGUGCCAGCAGCCGCGGUAAUACGUAGGGGGCGAGCGUUGUCCGGAAUGACUGGGCGUAAAGGGUGCGUAGGUGGUUUAAUAAGUUAGAAGUGUAAUACCCAGGGCUUAACUCGGGUGCUGCUUCUAAAACUGUUAGGCUUGAGUGUAGUAGAGGAAAGCGGAAUUCAAUGUGUAGCGGUGGAAUGCGUAGAUAUAUUGAAGAACAUCAGUGGCGAAGGCGGCUUUCUGGACUAUAACUGACACUGAGGCACGAAAGCGUGGGGAGCAAACAGGAUUAGAUACCCUGGUAGUCCACGCCGUAAACGAUGGAUACUAGAUGCAGGAGGUAUUCACUCCUUCUGUGUCGCAGCUAACGCAAUAAGUAUCCCGCCUGGGGAGUACGAUCGCAAGAUUAAAACUCAAAGGAAUUGACGGGGAACCGCACAAGCAGCGGAGCAUGUGGUUUAAUUCGAAGCAACGCGAAAAACCCUACCCAAGAC